GCUUGCUGAUUUGCUACGCACUCUCUGUUCACUGCGCGCUAGCCUCUCCGCCUUCACUUGACUCACAAGCUCAUCCCUGUUACGACAAAAUAUUGUGUGAUCAUCACAAUUUUGCUUAUCUGGUCUGCAGUUGUAGAGGAUGAAGUACAAAGUACCAACAUACAGAGGUUCGGUGAACUACGGAUCACCAGAAGUAUUCUCAAAGCAACUUCUCUGGAUCACCUGGUGAUUUCCUUUUUGGUUCUAGCCGACAGAUUGCGCGUGCGACUCCUGUCAAAAUCCAUGCUCACCAGAAUUGUUCACAUCAGGUCCAAGAGCACAUCGGACUACAUUCCGACAUACGUCAUCGCAAUUGAAUAUUUAUGGAUGUCAUUUUGACGCAGGUACAUGCUGAGAUGUUCUUCCUUAAUGCCUGGCACUGCUCCCUAGGAAUCAGUAUAACCUGCUUCCGGUGCAGUCCUCACUGUACGAUGUCUUCUGGCACAUCUUAGUUCAUCUAAGACGUGGAAGAUAAUCUACGUUUUUGCUCAUCCACCCCACAAGGAUCGUAUCGGCACGAAAGAGAUCUGUUUGAGCCAAAGCCCGAGGUUGGGAAG
Molecule: long non-coding RNA, 596 nt
Filed under: Coccomyxa subellipsoidea
Lineage: Eukaryota; Viridiplantae; Chlorophyta; Trebouxiophyceae; Coccomyxaceae
Description: long non-coding RNA (CSUB_LNC000407)
Source: RNAcentral